Non-coding RNA from Annulohypoxylon bovei var. microspora, 93 nucleotides. The record is from the annotation of a GenBank genome assembly. Lineage: Eukaryota; Fungi; Ascomycota; Sordariomycetes; Xylariales; Hypoxylaceae.
GGGCUCAUGGCCUAAUGGUAAGGCGUUAGAUUUCGGUUCUAUUCACAAGUAGAUGGCCUCUAAAGAUUGCAGGUUCGAUCCCUGCUGAGCUCG